CCUACGGGAGGCAGCAGUGGGGAAUAUUGGGCAAUGGGCGCAAGCCUGACCCAGCAACGCCGCGUGAAGGAAGAAGGCUUUCGGGUUGUAAACUUCUUUUCUGAGGGACGAAGAAAGUGACGGUACCUCAGGAAUAAGCCACGGCGAACUACGUGACAGCAGCCGCGGUAAUACGUAGGUGGCAAGCGUUAUCCGGAUUUAUUGGGUGUAAAGGGCGUGUAGGCGGGAAAGCAAGUCAGAUGUGAAAACGCAGGGCUCAACCCUGAGCCUGCAUUGGAAACUGGUUUUCUGGAGUGCUGGAGAGGCAAUCGGAAUUCCGUGUGUAGCGGGGAAAUGCGUAGAUAUACGGAGGAACACCAGUGGCGAAGGCGGAUUGCUGGACAGUAACGGACGCUGAGGCGCGAAAGCGUGGGGAGCAAACAGGAUUAGAUACCCUUGUAGUC
This 443-nucleotide ribosomal RNA is filed under the name uncultured bacterium. RNAcentral's name for it is "partial 16S ribosomal RNA". It matches the Rfam family "Bacterial small subunit ribosomal RNA", at positions 338 to 795 of the family's 1533-position model. The record is from RNAcentral.